GUGGCGAACGGGUGAGUAACACGUGAGCAACCUGCCCUGGACUCUGGGAUAAGCGCUGGAAACGGUGUCUAAUACCGGAUAUGAGCCACGGCCGCAUGGUCGGUGGUUGGAAAGAUUUUUUGGUCUGGGAUGGGCUCGCGGCCUAUCAGCUUGUUGGUGAGGUAAUGGCUCACCAAGGCGUCGACGGGUAGCCGGCCUGAGAGGGUGACCGGCCACACUGGGACUGAGACACGGCCCAGACUCCUACGGGAGGCAGCAGUGGGGAAUAUUGCACAAUGGGCGGAAGCCUGAUGCAGCAACGCCGCGUGAGGGAUGACGGCCUUCGGGUUGUAAACCUCUUUUAGCAGGGAAGAAGCGUGAGUGACGGUACCUGCAGAAAAAGCGCCGGCUAACUACGUGCCAGCAGCCGCGGUAAUACGUAGGGCGCAAGCGUUAUCCGGAAUUAUUGGGCGUAAAGAGCUCGUAGGCGGUUUGUCGCGUCUGCUGUGAAAUCCCGAGGCUCAACUUCGGGCUUGCAGUGGGUACGGGCAGACUAGAGUGCGGUAGGGGAGAUUGGAAUUCCUGGUGUAGCGGUGGAAUGCGCAGAUAUCAGGAGGAACACCGAUGGCGAA
Molecule: ribosomal RNA, 611 nt
Filed under: Microbacterium sp. 09WSH10-5
Lineage: Bacteria; Bacillati; Actinomycetota; Actinomycetes; Micrococcales; Microbacteriaceae
Description: bacterial SSU rRNA
Rfam family: Bacterial small subunit ribosomal RNA
Source: RNAcentral